UUUAAGGUCUAACCUGCCCAAUGAGGAUUUAAAUGGCCGCAGUAUUUUGACUGUGCAAAGGUAGCAUAAUUAUUAGUUUUUUAAUUGAAAGCUUGUAUGAAGGGUUGGACGAGAUAAAAUCUGUCUUUAUUUAAAUUAAAGUAUAAUUUAACUUUUAAGUCAAAAGGCUUAAAUGUUUAUAAAAGACGAGAAGACCCUAUAGAUCUUUAUUUAGUUAAGAUUUUAAUAAUUUAGGAUUAUUUUAAUUUGGAGUCUUAAUUGAAUUUUAUUGGGGUAAUAUAAAGAUUAAAUGAAUUCUUUUUAUUUAUGACAUUAAUUUAUGAAUAUAUGAUCCAUUAAUAUUGAUUAUAAGAUUAAGUUACCUUAGGGAUAACAGCGUAAUUUUUUUGGAGAGCUCAUAUCGAUAAGAAAGUUUGCGACCUCGAUGUUGGAUUAAAAAUUAGCUUGGGUGCAGAAGCUCAAGAUUUUGGUCUGUUCGACCAUUAGAUUUUUACAUGAUCUGAGUUCAGACCGGCGUAAGCCAGGUCGGUUUCUAUCUUUAUUCAGAUAAAAUAUUUUAGUACGAAAGGACCAAGUAUUUAAUAUAAUUAUAUUUAUUUUUU
This 602-nucleotide ribosomal RNA is filed under the name Cicindela (Rivacindela) sp. JP-140. RNAcentral's name for it is "partial 16S ribosomal RNA". It matches the Rfam family "Bacterial large subunit ribosomal RNA", at positions 1844 to 2726 of the family's 2925-position model. The record is from RNAcentral. Lineage: Eukaryota; Metazoa; Arthropoda; Insecta; Coleoptera; Carabidae.